Molecule: long non-coding RNA, 189 nt
Organism: Melanotaenia boesemani (Boeseman's rainbowfish)
Lineage: Eukaryota; Metazoa; Chordata; Actinopteri; Atheriniformes; Melanotaeniidae
Exons: 3
Source: RefSeq, a predicted model, not a curated record
GGAAACUCUCAGAAAUGUGGCCAUGUUCUGAGUCUGAGUGUCGGUCAUGCUGUCUUGCUGCCCCUCCCUCAGCUGCAUGGUCAUCCUCCUCCUCACUGCUGUUGGGAAGCUGUAACUGCAGUCCCUCUGCUGUCCACUGACUCUGUUCUGAGCUUACUUUCUUAGAAAAUAUGAUGAAAUGUUUGGUAC